UCGAGUCCUGGUGAAAGAUAUUAAACUAUUAGGGAGUGUCAAAGGAGAGUCACAGGAUGGUGAAGGGCCUUGAGGGCCCAUAUGAGGAGCAGCUGAGAGCACUUGGUCUGUUCUGCCUGAGCAAGAGGAGGCUGAGGGGAGACCUCUUCAGUUACAACUUCCUUGUGAGGGGAAGAGGAGGGACAGGCACUGGUCUCUGUUGACCAGUGGUGGGACUAAGGGAAUAGCCUGAAAUUGUGUUAGGGGAGGUUUAGUUUGGAUAUCAGGAAAGGGUUCUUCACCCAGAGGGUGGUUGGGCACUGGAAGAGGCUCCCCAGGAAAGUGGCCACAGUAUCAAACCUGACAGAGUUCAACAGGUAUUUUGGACAGCACUUUCAGGUACAUGGCAGCAUCCUUGUCCUGUGCAGGACGAAGAGUGGGACUCAAUGAUCUUUGUAAGUCUCUUCCAACUCAACAUAUUCUGUGACUUUGUAAUCUAGAGUUCCAGACAUGCAUCAUCCAGGAAACUAUUUAAGUUUUCAAAAUAUUUUUACUCUCUGGUAGGUGUUGGUCCUCUAGCAAACACAUUGUUCUUGUUUUGGCUGGGAUAGGGUUAAUUUUCUUCAUAUUGACUGGUAUGGGUCUAUGUUUUCCAUUUGUGCUGGAACAGUGUUGAUAACACAGGGAUAUUUUCAUUAUCACUGAGCAGUGCUUGCACAGCACAGAGUCAUUUUCUGCCUCUCAUACCACCCCAGCAGCAAGGAUUUGUGACAGCUGACCCCAGCUGACCGGAGGGAUAUUCCACAUCCUAAGGUAUCGUGCUCAGCAUAUAAAGAUGAGGGAAGAAGAAGGAACUGGUUUACUCAUGAUGGAGCCCUGCUGUCCUGAACAUGGCUGAACACCUACCAGUCCAUGGGAAGUGGUGAAGGAAUUCCUUGUUUUGUUUUGCAUUUUUUUUUAAUCAAAACUGACAAAUGUUUGAAUAUUUUGGGCAGUUUUCCACUCGGUCAGCAAACAGUUUAAUAUGCCUAACACCCCCAAGAAAUCAGAUUGUGUGGAGCAGCUCUCAAUCAAACCCUAAGUAGUCACAGUGAUGGAAUUCACAGCAAGCUCAAAACCAUCCUCUCCACACCCCUGUGAAAGAGGCUGGAGAGGAAAAUAACUGCUGGGUGCUCACCUCAUACAAAGCUGUUGAGGUUUCCAGUUGCUUUACAGCUGACUCCAUCUGAAGAGACUUUAAGUUUGACGCCUUAAAGAUGCUGAUUUUAAGCACAACUUUGUGUUUGGCCCAUACAAGAGGUUGUUCCCACUGCACCAAGUCCACAAUUUAAAAAGGCAACUUUUACAAGCCAUGCCUCUCUGUGGUUUUCUAGUCACCCUUUAGCCAUCCUCCUCCUGUGGUGGCAUUUUCCUGGCUCUGAAAAACAACAUUAUGUUCCAAUAUAUUUCCUGCCUGAGAAAAUGCCACCCCACUUGCCAGUUUUGCUGCCCUCCAGCUGGCCAUGUUUCUCCACACCUGUCACUGUCUACUGUUGUGUGGGAACGGCCGGAUUUGAAGGGGAGGGAGAACCAUUUGGCAUUAGCUUCCACUCCAACUUCCCAUUUUCCCGAUGAAAGCUCUCAAGUCUGUGAGAGCAGCCUUUUGCUCUUCUCUAAUGUGCAGCAUGUAAAGGACCACAAGACUCAGAAGACAGGUGGAAAAAAGCCUUGGCAAUGGGAUUUCAUUAAGCAUAUGCCCAAACCAAAAGUGAUGAGAGUUGGUGCACCUUUUUCUGGACUUUUGUGAGAUGGACCCUUGGCCUGGUGAGAGUCUGGACCUGCUGAAAUUCAUUGGACGUGGAAUUUUACACUCAUGGAAAUCAACACAGCCAAGGUGUCUUACUGGAAAAACCUGCCUGUGAUGCACCUACUGUUAUUAGCUAUUUCUGACAAACAUUUAUUUUAUUAUAUGUUUUUAUUACAUGUUUGCACAAUGAGAACAUGAAUUACAUAAAAAUGGGCAAACCUGAAAUACAAAUUAACCUUCAAUAUUGUAUCAACCAUCACUAAAACAUGAAAAUUUAACGUAGUCUAUUGGCAAAAUUAAAUUUUAGUUGUAGUGUGUUCGUCGUGACUUAAAAUUUCCUCUGCAUGCACCACACCUGGUUUGAAUGUAUUUCUAAUCCUGUCUCUAAAAUGUUGGGAGAUAGUCUCCAGAACCAGCUAAAUUGUACAUAUUUAAAUAAUAAUUUUAAAUAGUAAAUUGUCUGAUCUAUAGAAAGGACAAUCUACAAUAAGGACAAGAUCAGUAUCAGCCCACCCUCCUUCACUGAAAAUGGAAAACUACUUGGAUGCAUCAGCUCUGGGGUCACAUAUUUGGAAAUUUGUACAAGCCACUAAGUAAAUCAAAGCAAGUUAUUUCUGGAAACAUCCCUUUGUGGAGCAAAGGAGGAAAUUACCUCUCUGUUUCUACCUCUGUAUUUCCCAUCCUGAUCUUCUGGCAGAGCAGAGAGAGAGGCACCUUUAGCAAGAAGGGGAAGAAGCUUCCUACAUUCCCAGCAUACCAGUGGGGUACAUGCAGAUGACAUCUAAGGAGGGGGAGAUGUCCAGAACCUGCUCCACGCUUCUCUUCCUCAAAAGUUAUGGCAUUUAUUUGUGAAUGGAUUCAAGGAAGUAUUUUGAGAUAUCCCUGAUGAUAAGAACAUUUGGGGCACCAGCACUGUAGACCAUGCCCAGGGUCAUGAGUUUUCUUCAUGAGCGGUAAAACCUCACCACAGAAUCAGAGACUCACAGAACAUACUGAAUUGAAAGGGAUCCACAAGGAUCUUUAAAUCCAGCUCUUGGCCCUGCACAGAACAGCCCCAAGAAUCACACCAUAUCUGGAACUUGUGAGAGUAUUUUUUUAAAAAGAGAGCAUUUUCCUUGUGCUUAUUA
This is a long non-coding RNA of Vidua chalybeata, 2892 nucleotides long. RefSeq lists it as uncharacterized. The transcript has 5 exons. NCBI's taxonomy places the organism in Eukaryota, Metazoa, Chordata, Aves, Passeriformes, Viduidae. The record is from RefSeq and is a predicted model, not a curated record.